Triplophysa dalaica is the source of this 2599-nucleotide long non-coding RNA. RefSeq lists it as uncharacterized. The record is from RefSeq and is a predicted model, not a curated record. Lineage: Eukaryota; Metazoa; Chordata; Actinopteri; Cypriniformes; Nemacheilidae. The transcript is spliced from 2 exons.
UCAAAUUAACGUCAAAACUUGACAUCGAUUUGAUUUGCAUUUUUGACCAAUUCUUUGAUGUCGAUAUUUGACGUCAAUUUGAUCUAUUUAACAUCAAUUGCCCACUUGGGUAGUGAACUCAAGCAAAUUGACAUUGAGAUCACUUUCCCGAUUUACCGAAAUCAUUUCACGUUUUGUUUAUAUGUUGCAAGGUUCUGUAAAAAUAAAUGUUUCUCAAACCUACUGUGUGACUUCAUCAUUCUGGUAGGUCACACUUCACCCGAGGUGAUAAUGUCAUCAGAGAAUUCUGUAAAAGGAAAAUUUCUGAUUUAGAAGAUGGCAAUGAUACGGUGUAAGAAGAGAAACUGUCAGGUGAAUUGUGAGAUUUGAUUUCUAUUAAAAGAUAAAACAAGUUAUUCAAAAUUGUGAAAGAGAAAAAGAUCAAGAGAUAGACGUUUCACCAGACUAUUUAGAGGAAAUAGAUUCUUGCUUUGAGGAACUGUGACUGUGAGCCUCAAAGUGCACCACAGAACUUCUCUUCGCAGACUAACAACUGCUUUGUACGCCCCGACACCAAAACAAAAAAUAUAAUUAUAUUUUCAAAGCUGUCUAAGUGAAAUAUUUAUGAAAUAUUUACAUUAUUUCACAUUAACAUAUGAAUGUAAAAAGCAAUAAAGUUGUAUGAGCACCAUUUUAAGUAUUAGUCUUGCAUACCAACAACUACAGGUGCAUCAACAAGAGAAAUAUUGUCAUCAGUGAUCCUUCCAAACCAGAACAGCUUUCAUGUUCGCUUUGAAGCAUUUAUAAGCAUACAAAGGGGCACAUUAAAAAGCCAUACAUAAAAGCAGCCAUAACAAUUAGAUUAUUACUAAGUGCUGUGGGUUACAUGUGAGAUGGGAAGGUGUCGUCAGUACACAUGAUGUAUUUUUUGUCAAUUUGUUGACAUUAAUGUUUUCUUAUACUUGCGCUACUGUGAAUGAUCCCCGCUGUUUGCUGCUCUGUCAUUUUAGUACUUAAAGGACGUUGAGUAACUAUCUUUAGUGUCUAAUUUGUGUCAAUAAAUAGUGUGUCCAUAACAAUUUUUCAAACGUUUCUCAUAAUUAUUCUUGCUAAUUUUGAGGGAUAAGAUAACAAUACAUUUUCUGUAAUUAUUUGUCUAAAAUAACUUUUGCUGUGUCCUUAUUAUUGGAUGUUAAAUAAUGUUUUAUAAUUUAGGCUAUUGGACUUACGUCAGAUGCUACGCUUGUGACUGACAGCACGGUUGACCAAUCAUUGAAAAGGGAGGCGGCGAAAGCUUUUUCAAACCUCAGGAAAUGGGAAAGAAAAACUUCCACAAAAACUACCGGUAACUCGAGAGCCGUCUAGCCGCCCAGCUGACAGUCGGGCACUUGAAUUCUCCUCCAUUUUUCUGUGUAACAGAAGGACAUACAACCUUUCCCCUCUUGAACGGGCGUUUUGGUUUUCUCAGAUUCCGUUGGAAGUCUGGAUAUGAUUUCUAGUGUCACUCAAUCGUGCGCCGCUUGAGCCAGAGCAGAGAGCGCGAGCGAGGAAUCGGUUAGUCGGGACGUCACUUGACGGACAGCAGUGCACGAUGUCGGGUGUGACGGUACAGCUGCUUUGGAACAAUGCACAUUGUGAAAAGCUCUAUAUAAAUAAACUUGAACUCGAAUUGAACUUAAAGGGAUAGUUCACCCAUAAAUGAAAAUCUCGUCAUCGUUUAAUCACCUUCGAGUUGUUCCAAAUCAAUGGUAGUCAAAAGUGCCCCAGAAGAAUAUAACGGUGGAGAAUGAAAAACCUACAGAUAAUGUGAAAAGUUGUGAAAUGAGUCAGAAGGAGAGUUCUGGCUUGCUAGAGGACAAGACUACGUGUCAGUCAGUCGUUGAGGAUUCUUUGGAAAACAACCACCCCAGUAAAUCCCAGGACAGUAUUAAUGUUUCUGACAUGGAAAAGAGUGACCCGUCUGAUUCCGGGCCCCCUGAAGAGAGCAAACAUUCAUCUGAGCCUGACAUUCGAGUGGACAUGAACAAACAGGAUGUUGUUAAUUCAGGCACAUCAGUUAUCAGUGAAGAGAAAACAGCAUUUUAGUGUGACGUUUUAAAAGGUUUAAGGGAACAUCUAGACAUAAACACAAAGAAAGUUUGUUUCUUGGAUACGUCGUAAGACUCUCACAGUAGCUCACAGUUGCUUUACUAAAGAACAUUUCUGUUGCAUUAAAGGGAUAUUAUUUGAAAGAAAUGUUUGUUAAAAUUAUGACUUCACUAUGACGACAUAUAAAUGUCAAAGAUUAUUUUAAAUAGCUAUUUUUAUUCAUUUGCUUUUGUGUGACGUAAAAUUGCUGUAUAACGGAUGCCUGUAAGGCAAGACUGUAAAAUUGAGUUGUGUGUCCGACUAUUUUAUGUUUGACUGAUAAUCUAUUUUUAUAUUUCAUUUUAUUUUAUAUUUUGAUAUCUGAGUGCUGUUUUUUGGUGAAUAAAAGUUUCCAUCCAGUGAAAACUGUGUUCACAAACCAGAUUUAAUCCAGACAAUUACAGACAAUACUAUUUUCUUUCUGUUUAAAUCUGACACUUGACUAUGAAGUGUGGUGCAAGCACAUAUCCAAAAAAUAAAGAAAGAAAACUUA